GCACUUACUUCGGCAGCACAUAUACUAAAACUAGAACGAUACAGAGAAGAUUAGCAUGGCAUCUGUGCAAGGAUGAUACGCAAAUUCAUGAAGCGUUCCAGAUACAU
Molecule: small nuclear RNA, 107 nt
Filed under: Salvator merianae (Argentine black and white tegu)
Lineage: Eukaryota; Metazoa; Chordata; Lepidosauria; Squamata; Teiidae
Source: RNAcentral